UACAGAGGUCUCAAGCGUUGUUCGGAUUCAUUGGGCGUAAGGGGUGCGUAGGUGGCGCUGUAAGUCAGAUGUGAAAUUUCGGAGCUUAACUCCGAAACUGCAUUUGAUACUGCGGUGCUUGAGGACUGGAGAGGAGAUUGGAAUUCACGGUGUAGCAGUGAAAUGCGUAGAUAUCGUGAGGAAGACCAGUGGCGAAGGCGGAUCUCUGGACAGUUCCUGACACUGAGGCACGAAGGCCAGGGGAGCAAACGGG
RNAcentral lists this ribosomal RNA (253 nucleotides) under uncultured bacterium. Its description in RNAcentral is "partial 16S ribosomal RNA". It matches the Rfam family "Bacterial small subunit ribosomal RNA", at positions 524 to 776 of the family's 1533-position model. The record is from RNAcentral.